UAUUAUUUUGGAAAUUAAAUAUGCAUUUAUAUGCUGCAUAAUAUGCUGCACUCCCAAAAAUUGUUACUACAAAUUGUUCAGAAGUUUUUUCCUGUAUGGUGAAUAACUACUUUGUGCGCAUGUUCUGUAAGAAAUCAGUUUCGGAAAGGAACCCCACCCCCACUUCUUUGCCAUAACUAUCCAACUUACUACAGAUAUAAAAUGUUUUAUUUAUUUACUUAUUUACCCAAAUGCUGGGAUGAGGUUGUUGAGUCAUUUUUGGAUUAUUUUUUCAGUGUUGGGUAGUUUUUGUGUUGUUGUUCCCCCGCCCCUCCCCCCUACUGAGCGCGGGCAUUUUCGUUCUCUUCAGGGGAGAGCAGUUCUGGUGCAUUUCUUCGCCGAAAUACAGGUUAUGGAGUCUGUCACAGCAUCUUUCGGCAAUGAGUGAAACACACGGCGGCGGUCCGAAGUUAGCAAUUUCUCCGCCGAACACGAGCCCAGCUCCUGCACGAGAUCCAGCACCGCUACCCUAUGGAAACGGGAUAAAAGGGGCUGGUUGAUUACACUUGAAUUGCUUUGAAAUGCAAAUAUUGUGUACAUGUCAAAAUUAAAAUGGAAUAAAAUAUUGUGAA
Megalobrama amblycephala (Wuchang bream) is the source of this 611-nucleotide long non-coding RNA. RefSeq lists it as uncharacterized. The transcript is spliced from 2 exons. The record is from RefSeq and is a predicted model, not a curated record. Lineage: Eukaryota; Metazoa; Chordata; Actinopteri; Cypriniformes; Xenocyprididae.